AGUGAACGCUGGCGGUAGGCCUAACACAUGCAAGUCGAACGGCAGCACAGUAAGAGCUUGCUCUUACGGGUGGCGAGUGGCGGACGGGUGAGGAAUACAUCGGAAUCUACUUUUUCGUGGGGGAUAACGUAGGGAAACUUACGCUAAUACCGCAUACGACCUACGGGUGAAAGCAGGGGAUCUUCGGACCUUGCGCGAUUGAAUGAGCCGAUGUCGGAUUAGCUAGUUGGCGGGGUAAAGGCCCACCAAGGCGACGAUCCGUAGCUGGUCUGAGAGGAUGAUCGGCCACACUGGAGCUGAGACACGGUCCAGACUCCUACGGGAGGCAGCAGUGGGGAAUGUUGGACAAUGGGGGCAAGCCUGAUCCAGCCAUACCGCGUGGGUGAAGAAGGCCUUCGGGUUGUAAAGCCCUUUUGUUGGGAAAGAAAAGCAGCAGGUUAAUACCCCGCUGUUCUGACGGUACCCAAAGAAUAAGCACCGGCUAACUUCGUG
Molecule: ribosomal RNA, 492 nt
Filed under: uncultured bacterium
Lineage: Bacteria
Description: partial 16S ribosomal RNA
Rfam family: Bacterial small subunit ribosomal RNA
Source: RNAcentral